This 253-nucleotide ribosomal RNA is filed under the name uncultured bacterium. RNAcentral describes it as "partial 16S ribosomal RNA". It matches the Rfam family "Bacterial small subunit ribosomal RNA", at positions 524 to 776 of the family's 1533-position model. The record is from RNAcentral.
UACGUAGGGUGCGAGCGUUGUCCGGAAUUAUUGGGCGUAAAGGGCUCGUAGGCGGUUUGUCGCGUCGGGAGUGAAAACGCCGUGCUUAACACGGCGCUUGCUUUCGAUACGGGCAGACUAGAGGCAUGCAGGGGAGAACGGAAUUCCUGGUGUAGCGGUGAAAUGCGCAGAUAUCAGGAGGAACACCGGUGGCGAAGGCGGUUCUCUGGGCAUGUCCUGACGCUGAGGAGCGAAAGUGUGGGGAGCGAACAGG